Schistocerca piceifrons (Central American locust) is the source of this 682-nucleotide long non-coding RNA. RefSeq lists it as uncharacterized. The transcript has 3 exons. NCBI's taxonomy places the organism in Eukaryota, Metazoa, Arthropoda, Insecta, Orthoptera, Acrididae. The record is from RefSeq and is a predicted model, not a curated record.
GAUGGCGCAUUGUGAGCAGUAGUGAGGUGUCCGUGUGCCGUUCAAUUGUAAAUUACAUUCCGUAAAUGAGAUGGGGUGAAAAUGUGAAGUUCCGGGAAACGCAGUGAAAGUCGUUUGGUGUAUAUAUUUUUGUUUAAUUUAUUCCAGUACUCAUUAUUGUGAAGCAUCAUGGCAACUGAUAAAAUUAAAGUUGCGGUGAGGGUUCGCCCUUUCAACAGGCGAGAACUGGAGUUGGGAACCCAGUGCGUCGUUCGGAUGGAGGGUCAGCAGACCAUACUUCAUCACACUGAAAGGCAAGGACAUAGCUCUACGCGCGGUGGAAUUGUGGAAGAUGGUGCCGUCCUGUCAACAACUGUGUGUUUGGAUAAUGAUAUAGCCUAGACAGUCAUGAAGGAAGCACACUUAGUGACGUGUUAUAAGGAACCGCCCAGUAUUCGCUUUGGAGCCACACAAGAUAAAUCCUGGUAUCUUGAGGCAGAAAUCGAAUCAGUGACUAUUAUUUACACGCUCUGAACAGAUAAUAUUUAAAUUUGUGUUUCUAAAUGUAUACGAGAAGUUUGACUCUUCAAGAUGUGUACAAUUUCACUGAACUUCAUACUUAUGUAAUGUAUACUUUUCCUCUCGUUUUCGUGUCGCCGAAAUCAUGUGCCUCGCGAUAGCAUGAAUAAUAAUGAAAGAGAAA